Coregonus clupeaformis (lake whitefish) is the source of this 513-nucleotide long non-coding RNA. RefSeq lists it as uncharacterized. The record is from RefSeq and is a predicted model, not a curated record. The transcript is spliced from 4 exons. NCBI's taxonomy places the organism in Eukaryota, Metazoa, Chordata, Actinopteri, Salmoniformes, Salmonidae.
GUUCUGGAGGAGGUGACCUGCUACACCCCUCACUACAUGGAAGAGACGGAGUCUAUCUUUGACCAAUCACAGGAGGAGAGGAAGAGGAUCAGCAAUGAUCCACAAUUGACGUCACCAACAAUGAGAGGAUGGCUACACCCGCUGUGACUAGGAGGUGUGAAGGCUGUGUAUAAUGAGCUCCACAACAUUCUCAUGGCCAUCAAUGAGUGGGACAAACUGCGCUGUUGGAAGAACACCCACAGACCGGGCAUGCCCACUGACUGGCCUCAGUUCCAGGAGUGGGCACCAGAACAUAAAAUUUGAAGAAAGAGGUAGAGGCACAGCAAGGCACAAUAGAGAGACUCAGCGAUCAGCUUGUUGGGGCUGAACUGGGAGCAUAGUACUGUAGCGGUGGGACAGAGGAGACGGCAACAGACAGGGCUUCGUCCUGAGACCUAUCCUACGAAUCAGGUUUGAGGAAUUAGCAAGGUAACUUUGGUCAACUCUGAGUUUAACUUGGGCUACACUACAUGA